This 88-nucleotide non-coding RNA is filed under the name Alexandrium catenella. Lineage: Eukaryota; Dinophyceae; Gonyaulacales; Pyrocystaceae. The record is from RNAcentral.
CCUGCGGUGACCUUUGCGGGGUCCGGCGUCGGCCUGCUCAUUGCCGGCCCCAUCUGCGACUGGCGCGGGCGGAAGACUGCGCUGGUGU